UACGAGAAAGUUGGCUUCGGCCGAUAAGUAAAGUGGCGCACGGGUGAGUACGCGUGGAUAAUCUACCCUUUANUCUGGAAUAACUUACCGAAAGGUGAACUAAUACCGGAUAAUAUACCGAUUUCCCCGGAGAUCGGGAUCAAAGAAGGCCUCUGCUUGCAAGCUUUUGCUGAAGGAUGAGUCCGCGUACCAUUAGCUAGUUGGUAGGGUAACGGCCUACCAAGGCAACGAUGGUUAGCUGGUCUGAGAGGAUGAUCAGCCACACUGGAACUGAGACACGGUCCAGACUCCUACGGGAGGCAGCAGUGAGGAAUAUUGCGCAAUGGGGGCAACCCUGACGCAGCAACGCCGCGUGAGUGAGGAAGGUUUUCGGAUUGUAAAGCUCUGUCGAGCGGAAAGAAAUGCAUUAUGGCUAAUAUCCAUAGUGCUUGACGGUACCGCUAGAGGAAGCACCGGCUAACUCCGUGCCAGCAGCCGCGGUAAUACGGGGGGUGCAAGCGUUGUUCGGAAUCA
RNAcentral lists this ribosomal RNA (513 nucleotides) under uncultured Syntrophaceae bacterium. RNAcentral describes it as "bacterial SSU rRNA". It matches the Rfam family "Bacterial small subunit ribosomal RNA", at positions 65 to 553 of the family's 1533-position model. Lineage: Bacteria; Pseudomonadati; Thermodesulfobacteriota; Syntrophia; Syntrophales; Syntrophaceae. The record is from RNAcentral.